GGAAGAGGAAGUAGACAUCAUCAGAGAGUUUCCAAGGCCCCUCAAUGAGUCACCAGCCGAUUUCUCAACUCAGAGCCUCGUGCUGUGUCACUAGGUUCCCCAUCCUCAGCUUCUGAGAGCUGCAGACAUGGGGUAGCCCUGUGACACUCCCCCACACAUGUCCUCUGUCACCCACGUGUGGGCCCUAGUUUCCUUCCCAGACAGCAACUACAGCCAGACAUGCUGAGGCCUGCAGAAUUUCUCUUCCCACAUGAAUGACUGGGCCACUCUAUGCACAGCACAGCCCUGUGAGUGUUUGUCUCACUGCACCGGAAACACCACCAUGGAUUCCUUUUCUCAUUCCCUGGGCUGCUGACCUCAAAAAUAUGCAUCUCAACUCUAGAAGAUGUUGGCAAUCUGUGUUGUCCUUCCCACUCAACAGAGCUGAGCUGGCAAGCCUGUCCAGGGGAGCAUUGUCUCAGCAACCACCUGGAUGUCAUACAUGUUCUCCCCCAUUCACCCCGAAGACAUUCUCUUCUUUUUCACAAAGGUCCCUUGGGAACCAGCAGGGGUAGAGAGCAUGGCUCAGUUAACACUGGCCCAUGGUCCAUGCUCACAGCAUGAGUGAAAUCUUGUUAACCCCACAGGUGCAGGAGUCUGUGUGGGGCCCAGCCCUCAUCCCUCUUCCUGUAACUAAGCUUCAUUUUCUGCAUUUGUCACCCAGCAAACCCAC
Molecule: long non-coding RNA, 712 nt
Filed under: Cricetulus griseus (Chinese hamster)
Lineage: Eukaryota; Metazoa; Chordata; Mammalia; Rodentia; Cricetidae
Description: lncRNA (ENSCGRG00000024801.1)
Source: RNAcentral